GAUGAACGCUGGCGGCGUGCUUAACACAUGCAAGUCGAACGGAAAGGUCCUGCUUUUGUGCGUUGCUCGAGUGGCGAACGGGUGAGUAACACGUGAGUAACCUGUCCUUGACUUUGUGAUAACUUUAGGAAACUGGGGCUAAUACCGGAUAUGAGCUCCUGCUGCAUGUUGGGGGUUGGAAAGUUUCGGCGGUUCGGGAUGUACUCGCGGCUUAUGAGCUUGUUGGUGGGGUAGUGGUUUUCCAAGGCUUUGACGGGUAGCCGGCCUGAGAAGGUUGCCGGGGACAAGAGGACUAAGAUAGGGAGCAGAAGGGUACGGGAGGCAGCAGUGGAGAGUAUGACAGAAUGGGCGGGAGCCUGAUGCGGAAGCGCCGCGUGCGGGAUGACGGGCUUCGAGUUGUAAACAGACUUCGAAUGAAACGUAGAGGGAGUGACGGUAAUGGGUAAAAAAGCAACGGCUAACUACGUG
This 468-nucleotide ribosomal RNA is filed under the name uncultured bacterium. RNAcentral describes it as "partial 16S ribosomal RNA". It matches the Rfam family "Bacterial small subunit ribosomal RNA", at positions 28 to 507 of the family's 1533-position model. The record is from RNAcentral.